Unclassified non-coding RNA from Callithrix jacchus (white-tufted-ear marmoset), 118 nucleotides. It matches the Rfam family "Metazoan signal recognition particle RNA". From Rfam's summary of the family: The signal recognition particle (SRP) is a universally conserved ribonucleoprotein. It is involved in the co-translational targeting of proteins to membranes. The eukaryotic SRP consists of a 300-nucleotide 7S RNA and six proteins: SRPs 72, 68, 54, 19, 14, and 9. The record is from Ensembl. NCBI's taxonomy places the organism in Eukaryota, Metazoa, Chordata, Mammalia, Primates, Cebidae.
GCCAGGCGUGAACGUUCACGCCUGUAAUCCCAGCACCUUGGGAGGCUGAGGCGGGCGGAUCACCUGAGGUCAGGAGUUCCGAGACCAGCCUGACCAAUAUGGUGAAACCCCAACUCUU